GAUUUCUGGUUUGAUACAUUUUGCCGGCCACGGUUUCGUGUGUUAGUGCUUGAUGUUCUGACCAUCCUUCCAAUCGCUAUUUACUUUUCUUCAUUGAAUAGUAAGUGGUAUUGGAUCUUUUACUUUGAAAAAAUUAGAGUGUUUCAAGCAGGCUUUAUGCUAUGAAUACAUUAGCAUGGAAUAAUAAUUUAGGACUUCGGUUCUAUUUUGUUGGUUUCUAGGACUGAAGUAAUGAUUGAUAGGGAUAGUUGGGGGUGCUAGUAUUCAGCGGCCAGAGGUGAAAUUCUCGGAUUCGCUGAAGACUAACUUAUGCGAAAGCAUU
RNAcentral lists this ribosomal RNA (322 nucleotides) under Sandonidae sp. RNAcentral describes it as "SSU rRNA". The stretch from base 112 to 322 matches the Rfam family "Eukaryotic small subunit ribosomal RNA", at positions 744 to 955 of the family's 1831-position model. Lineage: Eukaryota; Cercozoa; Glissomonadida; Sandonidae. The record is from RNAcentral.